This 494-nucleotide ribosomal RNA is filed under the name uncultured bacterium. RNAcentral's name for it is "partial 16S ribosomal RNA". It matches the Rfam family "Bacterial small subunit ribosomal RNA", at positions 28 to 523 of the family's 1533-position model. The record is from RNAcentral.
GAUGAACGCUAGCGGCAGGCCUAACACAUGCAAGUCGAGGGGUAGAACACUUCGGUGUUUGAGACCGGCGCACGGGUGCGUAACGCGUAUGCAAUCUACCUUGUACAGGGGAAUAGCCCAGAGAAAUUUGGAUUAAUGCCCCAUAGUAUAUAACCUUCGCAUGUUGGUUAUAUUAAAGUUCCAACGGUACAAGAUGAGCAUGCGUCCCAUUAGUUAGUUGGUAAGGUAACGGCUUACCAAGACGAUGAUGGGUAGGGGUCCUGAGAGGGAGAUCCCCCACACUGGUACUGAGACACGGACCAGACUCCUACGGGAGGCAGCAGUGAGGAGUAUUGGUCAAUGGGCGCAAGCCUGAACCAGCCAUGCCGCGUGCAGGAAGACGGUCCUAUGGAUUGUAAACUGCUCUUAUACAGGAAGAAACCCUCCCACGUGUGGGAGAUUGACGGUACUGUAGGAAUAAGGAUCGGCUAACUCCGUGCCAGCAGCCGCCGCAG